Molecule: long non-coding RNA, 317 nt
Filed under: Mustela putorius furo (domestic ferret)
Lineage: Eukaryota; Metazoa; Chordata; Mammalia; Carnivora; Mustelidae
Description: lncRNA (ENSMPUG00000030820.1)
Source: RNAcentral
GACAGAGAAGAGGGGAAGCAGGCUCCCCGCUGAGCAGAGAGCCUGAUACAGGGCUUGAUCCCUGGACCCUGGGAUCAUGACCUGAGCCAAAGGCAGAGGCUUUAACCCACUGAGCCACCCAGGCACCCCACGAUGUCCUCCCUUUUUAAGGCCAGAAAGAAAGUGAGUCUGGACAUGGGGAGAGGCAAACACAGCGGACAGACGGGGAACCCUGGAGCUGAGUCCCACCUUCCUGUUGUUUUUAAGGUUUGGUCACACCAUGUCCUUCCCAAACCUCGGUUGUCCACCUCUCCUUUGGAUUCUAUAAACCAGUAAAU